Molecule: ribosomal RNA, 497 nt
Filed under: uncultured bacterium
Lineage: Bacteria
Description: partial 16S ribosomal RNA
Rfam family: Bacterial small subunit ribosomal RNA
Source: RNAcentral
GAUGAACGCUGGCGGCGUGCCUAAUACAUGCAAGUCGAGCGAACAGAUGAGGAGUUUGCCCCUCUGCCGUUGGCGGCGGCCGGGUGAUAAACACGUGGCUAACCUACUUAUAGGACUGGGUAAAUCUCGGAAAACGGGAGCUAAUACCGGAAAAUAUAUCGCACACCAUGGUGCAAUAUGGAAAGUCGGAUUUGGCUACCCUUAUCGAUGGAUCCGCGCCGCAUUAGCUAGUUGGUAAGGUAACGGCUUACCAAGGCAACGAUGCGUAGCCGACCUGAGAGGGUGAUCGGCCACACUGGAACUGAGACACGGUCCAGACUCCUACGGGAGGCAGCAGUAGGGAAUCUUCCGCAAUGGGCGAAAGCUUGACGGAGCAACGCCGCGUGAGUGAUGAAGGUCUUCGGAUCGUAAAACUCUGUUGUUAGGGAAGAACAAGUGUGUGAGUAACUAUGGACGUCUUGACGGUACCUGAUCAGAAAGCCACGGCUAACUACGUG